GGUUGUCGGUACACUCCCAACCCCCUGCGACACCACAGCAGUUGCCUCGGCGGGACCGCCCCGGCGCCCCAGGGCCCGGACCAGGGCGCCCGCCGGAGGACCCCCAGACCCUCCUGUCGCAGUGGCAUCUCUCAGUCAAGAAGCAAGCAAAUGAAUCAAAACUUUCAACAACGGAUCUCUUGGUUCUGGCAUCGAUGAAGAACGCAGCGAAAUGCGAUAAGUAAUGUGAAUUGCAGAAUUCAGUGAACCAUCGAAUCUUUGAACGCACAUUGCGCCCGCCAGCACUCUGGCGGGCAUGCCUGUCCGAGCGUCAUCUCAACCCUCGAGCCCCCCGCCUCGCGGCGGCGGGGCCUUCUCUUGGUUGUCCUUUAUUGAUGACGGCUUGUACUUGGAGGUCGUGCCGGCUCUCGGCUCCGGCUCCUCUGACUUGCAUUAGUGCUAACGUUACCGGCCGGUUCGCCGUGAUAAUUAUCUGCCUUGCUGCGCUCGGUUUUAUCUCGGACCCGGUUCGGAUACCCGCUGAACUUAUUCCUGAACUCUGACGGAGGAUCAGUAGGACUACCCGCUGAACUUAAGCAUAUCAAUAAGCGGAGGAUAAUAAAUCACCUAAAUCAAACAUCCA
Molecule: ribosomal RNA, 622 nt
Filed under: Ophiocordyceps sinensis
Lineage: Eukaryota; Fungi; Ascomycota; Sordariomycetes; Hypocreales; Ophiocordycipitaceae
Description: eukaryotic LSU rRNA
Rfam family: 5.8S ribosomal RNA (bases 160-313)
Source: RNAcentral